UGGGGAAUCUUCCGCAAUGGACGAAAGUCUGACGGAGCAACGCCGCGUGAGUGAAGAAGGUUUUCGGAUCGUAAAACUCUGUUGUUAGAGAAGAACAAGUGCUAGAGUAACUGUUAGCGCCUUGACGGUAUCUAACCAGAAAGCCACGGCUAACUACGUGCCAGCAGCCGCGGUAAUACGUAGGUGGCAAGCGUUGUCCGGAUUUAUUGGGCGUAAAGCGAGCGCAGGCGGUUCCUUAAGUCUGAUGUGAAAGCCCCCGGCUCAACCGGGGAGGGUCAUUGGAAACUGGGGAACUUGAGUGCAGAAGAGGAGAGUGGAAUUCCAUGUGUAGCGGUGAAAUGCGUAGAUAUAUGGAGGAACACCAGUGGCGAAGGCGACUCUCUGGUCUGUAACUGACGCUGAGGCUCGAAAGCGUGGGUAGCAAACAGGAUUAGAUACCCUGGUAGUCCACGCCGUAAACGAUGAGUGCUAAGUGUUGGAGGGUUUCCGCCCUUCAGUGCUGCAGUUAACGCAUUAAGCACUCCGCCUGGGGAGUACGACCGCAAGGUUG
RNAcentral lists this ribosomal RNA (550 nucleotides) under uncultured bacterium. RNAcentral's name for it is "bacterial SSU rRNA". It matches the Rfam family "Bacterial small subunit ribosomal RNA", at positions 355 to 896 of the family's 1533-position model. The record is from RNAcentral.